RNAcentral lists this ribosomal RNA (552 nucleotides) under Salmonella enterica subsp. enterica serovar Give. RNAcentral describes it as "partial 23S ribosomal RNA". It matches the Rfam family "Bacterial large subunit ribosomal RNA", at positions 1 to 592 of the family's 2925-position model. The record is from RNAcentral. Lineage: Bacteria; Pseudomonadati; Pseudomonadota; Gammaproteobacteria; Enterobacterales; Enterobacteriaceae.
GGUUAAGCGACUAAGCGUACACGGUGGAUGCCCUGGCAGUCAGAGGCGAUGAAGGACGUGCUAAUCUGCGAUAAGCGCCGGUAAGGUGAUAUGAACCGUUAUAACCGGCGAUUUCCGAAUGGGGAAACCCAGUGUGACUCGUCACACUAUCAUUAACUGAAUCCAUAGGUUAAUGAGGCGAACCGGGGGAACUGAAACAUCUAAGUACCCCGAGGAAAAGAAAUCAACCGAGAUUCCCCCAGUAGCGGCGAGCGAACGGGGAGGAGCCCAGAGCCUGAAUCAGCAUGUGUGUUAGUGGAAGCGUCUGGAAAGGCGCGCGAUACAGGGUGACAGCCCCGUACACAAAAGCGCAUGUGCUGUGAGCUCGAUGAGUAGGGCGGGACACGUGGUAUCCUGUCUGAAUAUGGGGGGACCAUCCUCCAAGGCUAAAUACUCCUGACUGACCGAUAGUGAACCAGUACCGUGAGGGAAAGGCGAAAAGAACCCCGGCGAGGGGAGUGAAAAAGAACCUGAAACCGUGUACGUACAAGCAGUGGGAGCCCCACCACUAAG